GCAGUGGUGGUUCGUGGGAGAAUUCUCGCCUUCCAUACAGGAGACCCAGGUUCGAUUCCUGGCCACUGCA
This 70-nucleotide transfer RNA is filed under the name Loxodonta africana (African savanna elephant). It matches the Rfam family "tRNA". Rfam says of the family: Transfer RNA (tRNA) molecules are approximately 80 nucleotides in length. Their secondary structure includes four short double-helical elements and three loops (D, anti-codon, and T loops). Lineage: Eukaryota; Metazoa; Chordata; Mammalia; Proboscidea; Elephantidae. The record is from Rfam by way of RNAcentral.